AAGGAUUAUGAAAGUGAGGAGAAGUUCUCUAUACCUGAUGAUCGCAUCAGCCACUUGCUGCCAUCAUCAUAUCAAGAUAUGAUUGUGAGAGUCUACUCCAAAAAGCCCCACCUGGUGGAAGCUAUUUCUGAUGCAUUUGAAAAUUUCCAGUUAAAGACUUAUGGAAUAAAAGCACAGGUUCAUGCAACACCUGAGAAGAAAA
This 202-nucleotide unclassified non-coding RNA is filed under the name Hevea brasiliensis (rubber tree). The record is from RNAcentral. Lineage: Eukaryota; Viridiplantae; Streptophyta; Magnoliopsida; Malpighiales; Euphorbiaceae.